CAUGCAGGCGGUUUGUUAAGCGAGAUGUGAAAGCCCCGGGCUCAACCUGGGAACAGCAUUUCGAACUGGCAAACUAGAAUUCUUGAGAGGGUGGUAGAAUUUCAGGUGUAGCGGUGAAAUGCGUAGAGAUCUGAAGGAAUACCAGUGGCGAAGGCGGCCACCUGGCAAGUAACUGACGCUCAGAUGCGAAAGCGUGGGUAGCAAACAGGAUUAGAUACCCUGGUAGUCC
Molecule: ribosomal RNA, 229 nt
Filed under: uncultured bacterium
Lineage: Bacteria
Description: partial 16S ribosomal RNA
Rfam family: Bacterial small subunit ribosomal RNA
Source: RNAcentral